AACGAACGCUGGCGGCAGGCUUAACACAUGCAAGUCGAACGAAGUCUUCGGACUUAGUGGCAGACGGGUGAGUAACGCGUGGGAACCUACCUUUAGGUACGGAACAACAGUUGGAAACGACUGCUAAUACCGUAUGUGCCCUAUGGGGGAAAGAUUUAUCGCCUAAGGAUGGGCCCCGCGUUGGAUUAGCUAGUUGGUGGGGUAAAGCCUACCAAGGCGACGAUCCAUAGCUGGUCUGAGAGGAUGAUCAGCCACACUGGGACUGAGACACGGCCCAGACUCCUACGGGAGGCAGCAGUGGGGAAUAUUGGGACAAUGGGCGCAAGCCUGAUCCAGCCAUGCCGCGUGAGUGAUGAAGGCCCUAGGGUUGUAAAGCUCUUUCAGCGAGGAGGAUAAUGACGUUACUCG
Molecule: ribosomal RNA, 408 nt
Filed under: uncultured Labrenzia sp.
Lineage: Bacteria; Pseudomonadati; Pseudomonadota; Alphaproteobacteria; Hyphomicrobiales; Stappiaceae
Description: bacterial SSU rRNA
Rfam family: Bacterial small subunit ribosomal RNA
Source: RNAcentral